AGUGAACGCUGGCGGUAGGCCUAACACAUGCAAGUCGAACGGCAGCACAGUAAGAGCUUGCUCUUACGGGUGGCGAGUGGCGGACGGGUGAGGAAUACAUCGGAAUCUACUUUUUCGUGGGGGAUAACGUAGGGAAACUUACGCUAAUACCGCAUACGACCUACGGGUGAAAGCAGGGGAUCUUCGGACCUUGCGCGAUUGAAUGAGCCGAUGUCGGAUUAGCUAGUUGGCGGGGUAAAGGCCCACCAAGGCGACGAUCCGUAGCUGGUCUGAGAGGAUGAUCAGCCACACUGGAACUGAGACACGGUCCAGACUCCUACGGGAGGCAGCAGUGGGGAAUAUUGGACAAUGGGCGCAAGCCUGAUCCAGCCAUGCCGCGUGAGUGAAGAAGGCCUUCGGGUUGUAAAGCCCUUUUAUUGGGAAAGAAAAGCAGCAGGUUAAUACCCCGCUGUUCUGACGGUACCCAAAGAAUAAGCACCGGCUAACUUCGUG
This 492-nucleotide ribosomal RNA is filed under the name uncultured bacterium. Its description in RNAcentral is "partial 16S ribosomal RNA". It matches the Rfam family "Bacterial small subunit ribosomal RNA", at positions 29 to 507 of the family's 1533-position model. The record is from RNAcentral.